Molecule: non-coding RNA, 87 nt
Organism: Paramuricea clavata
Lineage: Eukaryota; Metazoa; Cnidaria; Anthozoa; Malacalcyonacea; Plexauridae
Source: the annotation of a GenBank genome assembly
UACCUCAAAAAACCACAACAGUCUGUUUCAUCCGUAUAGGAUAGAUUGAUGAUUCCUAUACGGAUGAAACAGACUGUUGUGGUUUUU